AUGAACGCUGGCGGCGUGCCUAACACCUGCAAGUCGCACGAAGCACCUUACCUGAUUCUUCGGAUGAAAGUUUGGUGACUGAGUGGCGGACGGGUGAGUAACGCGUGGGUAACCUGCCCUGUACAGGGGGAUAACAGCUGGAAACGGCUGCUAAUACCGCAUAAGCGCACGAGGAGACAUCUCCUUGUGUGAAAAACUCCGGUGGUACAGGAUGGGCCCGCGUCUGAUUAGCUGGUUGGCAGGGUAACGGCCUACCAAGGCAACGAUCAGUAGCCGGUCUGAGAGGAUGAACGGCCACAUUGGAACUGAGACACGGUCCAAACUCCUACGGGAGGCAGCAGUGGGGAAUAUUGCACAAUGGGGGAAACCCUGAUGCAGCAACGCCGCGUGAGUGAAGAAGUAUUUCGGUAUGUAAAGCUCUAUCAGCAGGGAAGAUAAUGACGGUACCUGACUAAGAAGCUCCGGCUAAAUACGUG
RNAcentral lists this ribosomal RNA (476 nucleotides) under uncultured bacterium. Its description in RNAcentral is "partial 16S ribosomal RNA". It matches the Rfam family "Bacterial small subunit ribosomal RNA", at positions 29 to 507 of the family's 1533-position model. The record is from RNAcentral.